GCCUGCCAAGUGUGAACAAUGAUCAGCCAUAAAGUGCUUCUUCUUGGAGGCCACUCAUCUUAAACAGAAAGAGCCUUGAGCUAAAUCAAAGACCUGGUUUCUAGUUCGUGCUCUCCCUGGGUAGCCUUUGGACAUUCAUCAAGACCAACAUACCUGCCAAGGCUAACCCUGGAAGCCCUGUGACUGGCCGUUCAGAAUCGACAUCCUCCUUGUCUGCCAUCCACUCGUUUACAAACUGGUGUCAAUGAAGGGUGAGGAGAUAGGGAUACAGAGAAGGAAAAUGACUUGCCUAGGAUUACAUGCUGGUAAGAAGAGGAACUAUAGGAAGAUCUGGGUGUCGGUUGCAAAUUCCAUACUUGCUGCAUUACAGCGUGCACGGUAAUGACCAUCUGGGCCUGGGCCUGGGCCUGGGCCCGGAACACUGGCAUGUAGUUGCUGCUCAACAAAGAGUAACACCACCAGCUAACCAGGCACAGUGGCUCAUACCUGUAACCCCAGUAUUUUGGGAGGCUGAGGCGGGAGGAUUGCUUGAGCUCAGGAGUUCAAGACCAGCCUGGGCAAUAUAGUGAGACCUCAUUUCUACUAAAAAGCAAAACAAUUGAUUUUGAUGGUGUGCACCAUCUUUGAACUACUGGGAGAUCAAAGCUGCAGGAAGCUUGCUCGUGUUACUACAUUCCAGCCCGAGUGGGACAGUGAGACUGUCUCAAAAACAGAAAAAAGGAGAGAAGAAAAAGAGCCAAACACCGUGCCCCACCAUGUGCUGGGUGAUGCCCCAUGCCUGUGCACUCUCACCUCAACUGAGUACAGUAGUAUUACCUAAUUGCAUAGAGUUAGAGGUUAAAUUCCUCUUCUUUUUGCAUAUGUUUCAUCAAAUGGAAUGAAAAACCUCAUUUUUCCUAAGGGUUAGUAGAUGGUCAGACAGCUGAUACAUCCCAAAUCUAGCUUCCUCCUACUCUUUUUUUUUUUUUUUUGAGAUGGAGUUUCACUGCUGUUACCCAGACUGGAGUGCAAUGGCACGAUCUCGGCUCACCGCAACCUCCGCCUCCUGGGUUCAAGCAAUUCUCCUGCUCAGCCUCCUGAGUAGCUGGGACUACAGACGUGAACCACCAUGCCCAGAUUGGUGACUGAGGAGGGGACUUAGAGAGUAUCAAUUUGAAACUGCUUAUCUUCUGACUGCUGCUGAGCUUCAUGUGCUGCGUUCCCCGUCCAGCUACCUGGAAUCCUGGAAUUCUGUGUCCUGAGGGCACUUAGGAGAGCAGAGGUGCAUGGUUGGAUGUAAUGCUACACCCUGGGCAGGCUGCUCUUCCAAUGAUCAUGUAGCCACAGAUUAGGAGUUCCAGAAGGCACCCUUGGCUCAAUGCAAUUUCCAAAGCCAGACAAGAACAGAGGGAGAAAUUCUCUCUAGAGAGCAACUGAACUGAGUAUGUUUGGAAGUAGUGGGUGAGAUGAUGGUUGCUACUGAGUUCAGGCCAUAGGAUUUUAGGGAUCAGGAACUUGCCUUCAGGGUAGCCAGAUAAGAGGAGCAGUAGCCUCUGUAUUUACCUUUUGACUGCUAGAUGUUCAAAAUGACAGCCAGGACUCCAGUGAGGCUGCAAGUGCCGGAGGGGUUUUCCCUAGGAAGCUGGAAUAACCAAGGCUCUCAAAGUUAAAACUAAAACCGCUCAGAUGUGGAAGGUACAACUCAACCCUUUAAGUGAAUAAAUGAUUCAUAGCAUGCAGGUGGGGUUGGCUCUGCCCUUUCAUUUUCAACUAUCUUCAAGCCCCUAAGGAGAUACCUUUUCUGAAUUAAAAUCAGGAGAAAAAUACCUAAAUUAUCUUAUCCUCCGUUGUUCUGUAGUGCUUUUUCCAACCCUUACCAAAAGAUGGAGAUCUCUUUUAUAAGUGGCAACUCCCUUUGCUAACAGAAGGGGUUGCUUUCAUUUCUAAUAACGGCAUUCAUGUUCACUGGGAAACAAGAAUGUAUUGAACAUAGCACCAACUUUGGAAUUACAUGGUCUGAAUUAAAUUCUGUCUCAAGGCAUCAUGCUGUGCAAUAUUGGGCAAGUUCCUUUACCUUCCUGAGUCUCAGGUUCUUCACUGUAGAAUGGAGACAAUAACAACAGAAGCUAAAAUGUAUUGAGCACUUGAAUGUUGCAAAUCACUUUGAACAUUAGAGGGGCGGUUUAGCCACGCAGCCUCACUACCAAACUAUUCACCAGGCAGUAACAGGGUAUCCUGACAAUUAUAGAUAGUUCUCAAUGGCUUCCAUGGCAUUGUUAUAUUAGAGAUUUCCUUUGGUUUUUCCAGUUGUUUAAUGAGGUAGGUAGACCCAGUAGGGCUGAUGAUAUCUGUUUUGAAUGAAGAAAUUAUGCUCAGAGAGUUUAAGUGGCUUUUCUGAGGUCAUCCAGCCUACAAAUGAAGGACAUGGAUCUGAACCCAGGUAAUCCCCACAAUGCUAUGUGCUAUGCAUGUGCUUUAUAAAUUUCUCAUUUACUAUGUAGAGUAGCCGUUCUCAACCGGGAGCAAUUUUGCCUCUCAGAAAACAUUCAGCAAUGUCUAAAAACAGUUUACAUUCUCACAACUAGGGGAUGCAGGACUACUGUUUCUAGUGUGUAGAGGCUGAAAUGCUAUUAAACGUUCUACAACGCGCAGGUCAACCCUGUGCAGCAAGGAAUUAUCUGUCCCCAAAUGUCAAUGGUGCCAAAGUUGAUACUGUAAUACAGAGUAAAGAACUAAUGCAAGUUGUUUACAUUUUAUGGAUGAUAAGACUGAGACCUAGAGAUUACGUUAUUUUCCCAGGGUCAUUUAGGAUAUGGUAAAGCGGGGAUUUAAAGCCAGAAAACUUGAACCCACUCCCCACUUCCUAACUACUAAGCUAUACUCUCUCCAAGGAAAUCUAUAUUGAAUCCAUCAAGGGCCUUAGAAGGCACUAAAAGGAUACAUACUACAAGUACAUGUGGGGACUUUACCUACUCAGCCACAGAAAAUAUAACCCUAAUCUAAAUCUAAGACUUCAGAGUAGGGCCUGUCACCCCCAUAAUAGCUCAGCCCUUUAUUUUUGUUAUACCAAAUAGUAUACUUGUUUUAUUCCAAAGGAAAGUCUAGCUCCUCCUCUAAAAUGCCAAUAUUGUUAGUCCUAAAUUCUAAAUUCUAAAGAAUUAUUAAAGAAUCAAUUCUAAAUUCCAAAGAAAUAAAAUGAAGGACCAAAAAUGAUGAUUGAUGAGAACAUGACACAGGGCAAGAGGGCGAGAAGCCUGGGGCCCCAGAAGCAUGUGUUCUCUGGCAGCUCUGGUUCUCAAGGGAGGGGGCUCUGUCUGCUGUUGGAGGUCAUGGGAUCUGACUUAUCUGCAUUGGAAGGAGGUGUGGGGUUACAUGGAUCCACCCAUAUUCUCUAUUUGACCAGAAGGAAACCCCUCUUUGUUUCUGGAUCACAUCCCAAAUGAGAUCAUUUGUAAAAUAAGCAGUUUCAAAUUGAUACUCUCUUAAGUCGCCUCCCUCACCACCAAUCUUCAAAGUUCUGGCCUCCAUAUCAGUAGCUUGAAAACAUAUAUCCUACUAUUUCAUAUAUAUAAAUGGCAGGCAUGCUUAUGGAUGGCACACUUAUUUAGGUAUGUCCCAACUUCUAUGAAACUAUAAUCCAUUGUGCAGAUAAAGACAUAUAUAAUCAAAGGCACUACAACAGUCCUUGCCAUGGUAACUUUUAAUGAGCCAUCUGCAGUGUGCAAACCCAUGGGGCUGUGGGUUAUGUUCAGUCCCCAGCCAUGGAUGUGUGAGAUGGCUGUCCCAUGGGCAAGGACACAUGGAGCUAGCUGCUGGAGGAGAUGCCGUUCUAGAUGUUCAAGGAGCCGGGAAUAGUCCCAGGUGUAGUCAAUUAGGUAGGGACGACCCGCGGAGGCCCAACCCUGGAUCCACUGUGAUGGAUAGAGCUCCAAGUAGCAGCCCCAAGUUCCCAUUCCACAGAUAUUAGAUAUCUCCUUUCACUUGUGGAUGAUGAGAUUUUUAGUAGUUUACUAGCUGGUUAAAGAGUGUCUUCUCUAAGAAUGUGUAUUAUACAAAUUAGAGCAUCGUCAUUAUUCUGAAACCUUUACAUUAAAAAAGUUCAGCUGGAUUUGAAAUCCAUUUUUAUUUUUA
Long non-coding RNA from Callithrix jacchus (white-tufted-ear marmoset), 4110 nucleotides. RefSeq lists it as uncharacterized. The record is from RefSeq and is a predicted model, not a curated record. NCBI's taxonomy places the organism in Eukaryota, Metazoa, Chordata, Mammalia, Primates, Cebidae.